RNAcentral lists this ribosomal RNA (1000 nucleotides) under Bacillus amyloliquefaciens. Its description in RNAcentral is "bacterial SSU rRNA". It matches the Rfam family "Bacterial small subunit ribosomal RNA", at positions 31 to 1027 of the family's 1533-position model. The record is from RNAcentral. Lineage: Bacteria; Bacillati; Bacillota; Bacilli; Caryophanales; Bacillaceae.
GUAGGCUUGAGAGGUGCUAUACUGCAGUCGAGCGGACAGAUGGGAGCUUGCUCCCUGAUGUUAGCGGCGGACGGGUGAGUAACACGUGGGUAACCUGCCUGUAAGACUGGGAUAACUCCGGGAAACCGGGGCUAAUACCGGAUGCUUGUUUGAACCGCAUGGUUCAAACAUAAAAGGUGGCUUCGGCUACCACUUACAGAUGGACCCGCGGCGCAUUAGCUAGUUGGUGAGGUAAUGGCUCACCAAGGCGACGAUGCGUAGCCGACCUGAGAGGGUGAUCGGCCACACUGGGACUGAGACACGGCCCAAACUCCUACGGGAGGCAGCAGUAGGGAAUCUUCCGCAAUGGACGAAAGUCUGACGGAGCACCGCCGCGUGAGUGAUGAAGGUUUUCGGAUCGUAAAGCUCUGUUGUUAGGGAAGAACAAGUACCGUUCGAAUAGGGCGGUACCUUGACGGUCCCUAACCAGAAAGCCACGGCUAACUACGUGCCAGCAGCCGCGGUAAUACGUAGGUGGCAAGCGUUGUCCGGAAUUAUUGGGCGUAGAGGGCUCGCAGGCGGUUUCUUAAGUCUGAUGUGAAAGCCCCCGGCUCACCCGGGGAGGGUCAUUGGAAACUGGGGAACUUGAGUGCAGAAGAGGAGAGUGGAAUUCCACGUGUAGCGGUGAAAUGCGUAGAGAUGUGGAGGAACACCAGUGGCGAAGGCGACUCUCUGGUCUGUAACUGACGCUGAGGAGCGAAAGCGUGGGGAGCGAACAGGAUUAGAUACCCUGGUAGUCCACGCCGUAACGAUGAGUGCUAAGUGUUAGGGGUUUCCGCCCCUUAGUGCUGCAGCUAACGCAUUAAGCACUCCGCCUGGGGAGUACGGUCGCAAGACUGAAACUCAAGGAAUUGACGGGGGCCCGCACAAGCGGUGGAGCAUGUGUUUAAUUCGAAGCACGCGAGACCUUACCAGGUCUUGACAUCUCUGACAUCUAGAGAUAGGACGUCCCUUCGGGGGC